Molecule: RNA transcript, 8166 nt
Organism: Passer domesticus (house sparrow)
Lineage: Eukaryota; Metazoa; Chordata; Aves; Passeriformes; Passeridae
Exons: 5
Source: RefSeq, a predicted model, not a curated record
GGCCUUGAGCAGCACGGUCUGGUGGGAGAUUGCUUUGCCUAGCAUGGGAAGUGGGUUGAGACAGGAUGGUCUUCAAAGUCCAUUCCAACCUCUUGACAUUCUAUGGUUCUGUGAUUCUCACACAGACCUUGAAAUAAGCAGGUGCAUAGACAAAUUUCUCAUCAGUAAAAGCAAAUGUUUAGUUUCAUCAGGGCUCCGUGAUACUGCUGGAAGUUGUGCAGCACAUUUAUUUGCAGUGAACUUGAGAACGUCCCACCCUAAAGGCAACAUGCUCAGACUCUGUUGUGCUGUGUUAUGGUGGCACCAGAAUGAAUCCUCAUGAACUCUACAGCACUUGUUUCUUUCCCCACAUCAGCCAUGGCAAGACCUGGUUGUGUCAUCGGCACUGAACAAAGAAAGGAACCAUGGUCCAUAACAGAAACCAGGUAGCACACGGUUCUGUAUGCUGCAAUAAAAGACUGCUUGGAUUGGCCAUCCUCCUGUUUUGGGACUUAGAAUUACCAUUGUGUUGCAAAACUAAGGAUCAAAUUAAUAUGCCUUGGUGUUUACAGUUGAGUUUAGGUCUCUAAGCAACACUGCCAUGGUGUCUGCUUUGUCCUCCGUGCACACCAGCAGAUAUACAAGCAUGAAACCAGUCAAAUAAAAGCAGUAACAAUGGAGGUAGGAGGCAUCCCUCUGUCUGAAGGAAUACUUCCUUUUCUUACCUGUAUCCUUCUGAAGAGCUCCAGCGCCAACAGUGAUGUUAACUGUGCCCGAGAGAAUCUUUGCUUUGGCGACAGGCAGGACAACCACUCCUAAUAUAUAUGGGUCAGUGAACGCUGCACAAGAAGCACAGAAACCAGGAAGAACACGACUGAUGUAAUCAGCAUUUAAUUUAAGGAGAUGGCUUCAACAACCUGUAGAAAAACUGAGCAUAUAACUAACUGCAAUGGAUAGGAAAGUAAAACAGCUUCAGGUAGUUCAUUACUGCUACGGACAGAAACUCUUGAGAUCUGCCAGUGGGAAUUGACAGGAGAGAAAAACCUCUUAGUCAACAAUUGUGGGACAUGUGAAAAUCACUCUGUAGUGGUAGCAGUGUGUCUAGGUCCAUUGUUACAUAGAUAUGCUCCAAUGCUCUUCUAAGAAAAAAGGCCACUUCCAGUCAGUUUUGAAGACAUAGUAUGUACAAUUAAAGAAGAGAGAGAAGACUCUCUAGUGUAGUCUCUGGACUGUUUCUGUAAUCUCUUGAGGCCACACUUGAACAAAAAAGAAUAUUUUCCUUAAGAAGCAUUAUCACAUGGAUUUAAGGUGAGCAGGAUUAUCAGAAGAAAAAUAAAAUUAACAAAUGCAUGAAGCAAGCUAGUGAGUGAAAAUAUCAGAUUCAGAAAUGUCACAUUGACAGAUUGAAACAGAUAGUGAUAACAUGGAACCAGGAGGCUCUCAGGCUUUUCUUACUACUUGGAUUCAUUGUAUGACAUCAUACUUAUAAUCUUCUGACGGCAACCUGACUUUUUGUACAAUCUGACAUGGUACUUAACUGUUUAUUCACAUCAAACAUAACACAUGAAAGUGAGAAGUUUGUAGCGUUUUUAACAAGGGUAUUUUCCUUCUCAACCUGCACUUGUUAAGAAGAUGAGAGACGUGAAAAAAACCAGAGUGGUUUCUAAAGAAUUCAGACUGCAGAAGUGGUUUUCCUCCCUCUGAAUGUCAUCUACUUGCCAUGCUUUUGUUUUUUUUAUAUGCGGAGAGACUAGUGCAGAGAUAUUACAUGAAUCAUAUACAAGUAUAGAUCAUAUCAUAUUAUCAGUAUAGAAAGAGAAAAUUCCUUACUGGACUCUCAUAUACAAACCAUUAUUUUUGAUUUCCAUGUAUGUAUCACUGUGUUGCUAGGACUUACUGUAAAAUUUAUUGUUGACACAGAAAUUGAUAUAGAUUAAUAUAUAUACCAAAAGACUGUACCUCCCUGCCAUACCCUUUUUAACACUUGCACUGAUGAGUUAUUCUAUAGGCAAUUAAGAGACAUCUCUGGAUUGUUAGCCCUUGUCCUUGCGGGAGACUUCAAAUUCACAGACAUUUACUGGAAAUGCCAUACUGAUUUUACAGGCAAGUCUGGGCAAUUCCAAGAGCUACUUCAGGAUAAUUUCUUGCCACAAAUCCUCCAACUAGAAAAGAUUCCUUCCUAUAUAUGUUUAUAGAGAAGUACUCAUGCAUAUGAUAGUAGGUGUUUGUCUUGACCGAAGUGAUGAUGAAAUGGUUUGAGUUCAAAAUUCUUAAUGUAAUGAGAAAAAAAGUUCAACAGGGUUUCUAGUGUGAAUUUCAAGAGAGCAAAUUCUCAGCUACCCAAGUAGCUACUUUGCACUGUUCCCUAGGAAUAUGCUUUGGAGGCCUCUAUGGGUGCUGGUCAGUCUUAAAGAACCACUAUUGAUAAGUGUGGAAGCAGGCCAUCCUAUUGUGUCACAGGUCAAGCAAGAGGGACAAGCUUGGCUUAACAGGGAACUCCUCUUGGAACUCAAGAAUUAAAAAAGAUUGGAUGAUAUCUAGAUGUAAGAUCAGAAGUUGCAGGAAGUUCAUAUAUGUUCACAAACACAGGAGAUGGCCUGCAAGGCCAAAACUCAAUAAAAGUUGAAAAUGGCCAGUGUUGUGCUCAACAACAAGAAAGGACUUGUAAGAUAUGUUAGUAGCAAGAGGAGGCUCAAGGAAAACAAUAUACCGAUUCUUGUUGAAGAUAGUCCUGUGACAAAUAGAAAUACAGAAAAACUGGAGGUAUUCAGUGGUUUGGAGUUUUUUUCCCUCAGCCCUUAAUAAUACUGGUGAGACCUCAGAGUCAAAGGACCACAACUGCAGGAACAGUGACUCUCCAUUUGUGCACAGAAAUUGUAAGAGACCACCUGUAUUACCUGCGUCACUUUUCAUAACAUCAUGAGACCACGUGAGGUUCAUCCCAGAGUAUUGCAGGAGCUGUUGAAUGUGACAGCAGGAUCAAAAGUCAAAAGUCAUUGCUGUCUGGGAAGGUCCCCACUGAUUGGAAGUUGGCCAGUCAUUGCAAUUUAGAAAGGUGUGCUAGAAGACACAGGAAGCUACAGAUCUGUGAGUCUAACCUCAGCACCUGGAAAAAUUAUGGAGAAGAUACUACUGGUCAUGAAAGGCAUUUCAAGGAAACACAAGCAUCAGGCAUAGCACAGGUUCACAAAGGGAAGCCCUGUAUGAUUAAGCUAAGAUAUUUCUACAAUUAAGUCACCUGCCUAGUGAGUAAAGGGACAGAGGUGGAUGUUCUUUUCCUGGAUUUUCAUAAUGCUUUUGAUACUGUCCCUUAGAGCAUUGUUUUGGACAAGUUGUCCAGCUGUGAGAUGAACAGAUGCUCACUGUGCUUGGUGAAGAACUGGCUUGUUGACAUUCAGAAGCAUUUCCUUACUGAGAGGAUGGUUGCACACCGGAAAAGACUCCCUAAAAAGAUGGUUGAUGUCCCAUGCCUGAUGGUGCUUUAAAAGGAGGCAUUUGGACAGCACCCUCAAUAACAGGCUUUAACUGUUGGUCAGCUGUGAUCAGGCAAUGGGUCUAGAUUAGUCUUGUAUGCCCCUGCCAACUGGAACUAUUCUAUUAUCCCCUAAUUAAAAUUUUGUGAAAGCUGCUGAAGCAAAUGCAACUAGAAAAUAAAAAAACUUUUCAAAGCUGUUGCUCCUUUGCUGUGUUUCCUACUGUCAAUACUUUUUCUUCCAGGACUUCAGCCAGCAUCCAUUCACAGGCUUGUGACUGUUGUGCUCUGGGUUAUGGCCACUCAGGAUUUGAAGACCUGAGCAUCUCACUUCUGUGCUUUGUGAUUCUUACAGCAAUUUUGGUUCUAUUCCUUAUUUCUUUGUUUUUAUUCCAGUUUGAAACUCUCGAGUUUCAGUAGAUGCCACCAUCUCUCACCCUCCCAUGAAUCUGUUCCCACCCUUUUGAUGUGGGAUGUCCCCAUCCUUAGAAACAAUGGGUUGCACUGUGAGAGGUCCCAACACCUUGUCUGCUCCACAUUGAACCAGCCCCAGCUUCACAGAGCAUCUUUACUUUAAAGGAUAGAGCCUCUCUUAUUUGUCAAUCUGACGCCAGGACCCCAAAGAGGGUCCAGUGCCUGGAGAGGUCUGAUGCGUUCUGAGCAGAGGGAAUCACCCUAGUUCCUUCCACCUAGAGAAAAAAGAUAGGAGAAUACAUGCCAGAGCAAGCCAAGUGCUGCCUGUGACGCAUCGUGCGAGAAAGCAGAAGAGACCAAAGCGGUGGCCAGCAGUGUGGAGUGUAUGGAGAGCCUGUGGGAAUUUGUCCUGCAGCCUCUCAGGGAGGCACAAUUUGUUGCUGAAUGAGUCCUCUUGCUUCAUGUGCAUGGUGAUGUCUGUCACGGCCAGAGCAAACUGGCAGGACUCUGGGGAGGCAUAUCCAAAGCCUCAGUGACUGUCUUGUAACAUCAAUGUGAGUACAAGAUGACAAGAUGGGGAAUGGAGUUGGUGUAGAGGUAACCCCAAAUGCAUGUACUGAGACAGUGUACCAUGGGUGUUGAUGGCCGUUUGUGAUAUCACCUAGAGAUGGAUUGUGAUGCCCUUGAGGGAUAGAUUGUGACCCAGCAACCCUCUGGGUGCACCAAGUUGCACCCAGCCAGCUCAUGCCCAGAAACAUCUGAAGAACAGGAUGCCAUCCAGAGGGACCUAGUCAGGCUCAUGAAGUGGGCCCAUGGGAAACUCAUGAGGUUAAACAAGACCAAGUGCAAGGUUCAGACAUCUGGGACACCCAGGAGGUGCACUUGCAGCAGCAGAGGCGAGAGGAGACCCCAGACACCUUGACCUCCAUUUCUCUGGAGCAUCUCAAACAUGGGCUGCCGAAGGAGUGCCCAGGCAUCCCAUGGGCAGCCUCCAGCCUGAGGAAUGGAUGGUACUUUUCCGGGACCACCCAUGCCUCCUAGAUACCCUGGUGCUCUGGGUCCGACCGAGGCUGAGGCAGAUCUUCAGGAACAACUGGAUGGAGGCAGACCUUGUGGAGGACACUGUCCUGGACAUCCUGACCAACCAUGGAAUCGAUGAAGACCAGCUGAUCCAGAUGCUGGGGGUGUCCCUCCAAAACCAUGCGGCAACAUUUGUGCAACAGCUGAUCCGUGUUGCUGUGCGACAGUGCAGCAGGGAGGCCUGUCGUCUGCUCACCCACCAGCCCUAUCUCCCUGCCCAGGUGCCAGCCCUUCUCACAGCCCUGCAAGAUGCACCAUGGAUGAGGUGCCCAACACCCCCUCCUCUGCCAUGGAUGGGGAUUUCAGAAGCUGCCCCUCUGUACCCAUUACCAUCGCUGCUGGAGCAAGAAGAGCCCCAGGAGGAGCCAGAGGAGUCUGUUCCUGGGUCUUCCACUUCCAGACAGAGCAGUGACCCCUCUUCUGAGGGGCCAUGGUGACCUCUGAAGAGGUAGGCACGUGGCCCUGGGGUCUCUUCAGCUACCCCUGCACCUGUGACUUUGGAGGAUGCCUCAGAGGUUAGCCAAAUUGGGACCAGGCCACUAGCUGGAGCAUGCACCAACCCUCUAGGGCUCCCAGCCCCUCAUAUCCAGCUAUUCAAAUAAAAUCAAUGCAUGGAAACUCAAAAAAAGUCUCAACAUUACAAACAGGACAGGUGGCAUUUCUGUCCUUGUUAUUCUUCCAUCAGACAUGUGGAAGGCCCAUUCCUGUAGCCAGCCCCAGGGCAGACAUUUCCAACAGGAGGGUCUCCAGGUCCAGACUGUGCCCCACAGCCCAUUACCCCACGCCACUCACGAGCUCUUCAGUGCCAGUCCCUGCCCCCACAUCCUGGUUCUCUGCUCUCCUACCAGCCUGUGCUGCCCAGUGCAGCCUCACUAUGGCCACGACCAAUUCCCUGCCCAGCCUGGAGUCACAACUUGGUGCUGCUCUCUGUGUCGCCCAGGGUCAUACCCUGCCAAGGCAGGAGCCUCCAGAAGUUCAUGUAGGAGAAGCACAAAGUCCGGUUCCUGGGAAGGGGCAAUGCCAGACUGGCACAUGCAUCAGGGUGCACAGCUGGUGAGCAGCCCAGACAAGGCAACCAUAUUGCUCUUAAGCACAGAUUAUCCUCCCACUGGUCCAGAUCCAGCCUCAGUGCUGCUAUUUCUGCUCUCCUUAGAGAGGGCCUAUCUGUGCCAGAUGGAUGCCAAGCAGCUGAAAGCUUUGUUUGUCUAGUUUGGAGAGAAAGAGUUUGAGGGUGACUUCACUGCUCUCUACAGCUUCCUGAGGAGGGAAAGUGGAAAGGGGUUUGGUGAUCCCUUCUCCCUGGGAUCCAGUGACAGCAGAGGUGGGAAUAGUUCAAAGCUGCAUCAGGAAAUGUUCAGACUGGACAUAAGAAAAUAUUUCUUUACUGUGAGUGUAGUCAGACACUGAAACAAGCUCCCUGUCUGCCAGUGCCUUAAAAUGCCCUACAUGACGUGCUUUAACUUCUGGUCAACCCUGAAAUAGUGAGGCAGUGGGACUAGAUUAUCAUUGUAGGUCCAUGACAACUUGAAAUAUCCCAUUCUGAUACCUGUCUAUACCAUCAAAUAAGUGGUGUUUGCCCUCUUCCUCUUUAUUUUCAGUGACAUAAGUGUUAUUUAAUGAAAAAGCUAAGAAUUUAUUGCUUAAGUAAUCUCAUUACAGAAAAUGAGAAAAUGUAAACAAUUCCUUCCAGUCCCAUGCGAUACUGACAGUUCAUAUAUGUUGUCUGUUAUUGUCACUUGUCCAAUAUGGUUUUGCUCACACAAAUAUUGAUGAUGUUUGCUUGUUCACAUUUUUAACCAUGAGGCUCUUAUAGAACAUAUGUCACCAAGUUAUUAUUGAGUUCAUGUAUUAUCUAUUCAUGCGUAUAGUGUCAAGAACACAGAGGAAGGAAAACAGUGUUCUGUCAUUGCAUUUUAUCAUCUUUUUAGCUCUUAGGUGUGAUACAAUAUUACACUUUGAUAUUUUCUGAUUUUUAUACAAAGCAUUUAUGUCUCAGCUUUCAGGGUUUCAUAACAGAACUGCCAUGGAAAUGAAUGCAUUAUGUUCUCAGCAUAUUUAUAUACCAAAUGUAAGAGAAUUUUUGGAGGUCCAGAUUUUUAGAAACUUGUUUAGCAUCAUGCCUCAGAAAGUAGACAUAAUGGAUACUGAUGCUGGCACAUACAGAUAGUGGGGUAGCCUGAUUGUUUUAUGUGUAAAUUAUUAAGUGAGAUGCCCAUUUGCACAUCUAAGAAUCUGAAUAACAUGAAAAGGUCUAAUAGCUGGAUAAUGUUUUGAGUUGUGCAUUGAUUUGUCAGGGGAGUGAGAGAUGGUGGACGAAACAUUGACCUUGCUAUCUGAAUGUUGGUGGUAUUAGAUGGCCAUUUAGCUUCCUCAGAAUGUUUGGACUGAUGCAGGCUUUUUCAGGUAAGGUCUCUUUCAGAUGCACUAGAAGCAGGGAGGAUGCUUGCAUGCAGGAGACAUACUCGCAUCAAAUCAUGGCAAAGUCCCAUGCCCUGUGCUCUUCCCAGGCACUUCUGUUUGUAAUCCUGUGGAGCUCCAUAGUGUUUCAGAGGGAAUUACUACAACUCUAGUGACAGCAUUGUGAUCAGUGCAGGGGUAAUAGCUGGGCAAUUAAUAAAAAACAUAGAAGCAUUCCCACUAUUUUUUGGAGUCCUAAAACCAAAUGUCCUUUGACACUUUCUCUUCCAAGCAAAUAAACACUAUGCCUCUACUCUGACCUUUUGCUCCUAAUUCACCAAGAUUUUCUAGAGGCUGUCAUUGAAUAAAUAUUAGUUGAGUAUCUGGCUACUUUCUGUUUUGCAGUGAGGAAGUCCUUUACAGUUCCAGUGAUAUGUAUAAAGUGACUUAUGUAUCACUGUUUUGUCAUGAGAAGUAGCCUUAGAGAUAGAACAAUCAGUAGGAAUUUGUGCCAGGAGGGCAACUGUAAAGUGUCUAUCCUGGCGAUGUUACUUCUCUUGAGUGAGUCCCUUCUUGUACACAGAAAAAGUCUACUUCAUCAAGGGGAAUAGAACUUAACACUGAGUUAAAAGCUCUAGGAUUCUGCCUGGUGUUUUUAACUUUUGAUUUGGCAUUGAAAUGGAACAAUAUGUUACUCAUUCUUAUGCAAGAAAUACCAAAAAUUCUUUUGUUGCAUUCUUGUAGUUACCAAUCUUGUAUUGUGCAAUAAGCUAUCAAAGUAUUUUUCAAACAAUAUAGUAAUAAUAAAGGUCAUAUUAACUGGA